Molecule: ribosomal RNA, 253 nt
Filed under: uncultured bacterium
Lineage: Bacteria
Description: partial 16S ribosomal RNA
Rfam family: Bacterial small subunit ribosomal RNA
Source: RNAcentral
UACGUAGGGUGCGAGCGUUGUCCGGAAUUAUUGGGCGUAAAGGGUUCGUAGACGGUCUGUUGCGUCGGGGGUGAAAACUCAGGGCUUAACCCUGAGCCUGCGUCCGAUACGGGCAGACUAGAGGUAUGCAGGGGAGAACGGAAUUCCUGGUGUAGCGGUGAAAUGCGCAGAUAUCAGGAGGAACACCGGUGGCGAAGGCGGUUCUCUGGGCAUUACCUGACGCUGAGGCGCGAAAGUGUGGGGAGCGAACAGG